GCGUCCGGUGGUGGACGGGCGCGCUCAUGACAGCUUGUAGCCGGCACCCCGGACGGUGACCAGCCGGUCGGCGCCGAUCUUGCGGCGCAGGGUGCGC
Molecule: transfer RNA, 97 nt
Filed under: Dietzia sp. NCCP-2495
Lineage: Bacteria; Bacillati; Actinomycetota; Actinomycetes; Mycobacteriales; Dietziaceae
Description: tRNA-Thr
Source: RNAcentral